RNAcentral lists this ribosomal RNA (745 nucleotides) under uncultured Anaerococcus sp. RNAcentral describes it as "bacterial SSU rRNA". It matches the Rfam family "Bacterial small subunit ribosomal RNA", at positions 28 to 776 of the family's 1533-position model. Lineage: Bacteria; Bacillati; Bacillota; Tissierellia; Tissierellales; Peptoniphilaceae. The record is from RNAcentral.
GAUAAACGCUGGCGGCGUGCAUAACACAUGCAAGUCGAACGAUGAACCUUAAUUGAUUUCUUCGGAAUGAAAAUAAGUGGAUUAGUGGCGAACGGGUGAGUAACACGUGAGUAACUUGCCUUACACAAGGGGAUAGCCUUUGGAAACGAAGAAUAAUACCCUAUAAAGUCAAAAUAUCGCAUGAUAUAGUGACCAAAGAUUUAUCGGUGUAAGAUGGACUUGCGUCUGAUUAGCUAGUUGGUGAGAUAAAAGCCCACCAAGGCGACGAUCAGUAGCCGGCUUGAGAGAGUGUACGGCCACAUUGGGACUGAGACACGGCCCAAACUCCUACGGGAGGCAGCAGUGGGGAAUUUUGCACAAUGGGGGAAACCCUGAUGCAGCGACGCCGCGUGAUUUAGAAGGCCUUCGGGUUGUAAAAAUCUUUUUUAUGGGAUGAAAAUGACAGUACCAUAAGAAUAAGGUCCGGCUAAAUACGUGCCAGCAGCCGCGGUAAUACGUAUGGACCGAGCGUUGUCCGGAAUCAUUGGGCGUAAAGGGUACGUAGGCGGCCUAGUAAGUUAGAAGUGAAAUAAUAUAGCUCAACUAUAUAAAGCUUUUAAAACUGUUAGGCUUGAGAGAUGAAGGGGAAAGUGGAAUUCCUAGUGUAGCGGUGAAAUGCGCAGAUAUUAGGAAGAAUACCGGUGGCGAAGGCGACUUUCUGGUCAUCAUCUGACGCUGAGGUACGAAAGCGUGGGUAGCAAACAGG